This is a long non-coding RNA of Gadus chalcogrammus (walleye pollock), 1305 nucleotides long. RefSeq lists it as uncharacterized. The transcript has 3 exons. The record is from RefSeq and is a predicted model, not a curated record. NCBI's taxonomy places the organism in Eukaryota, Metazoa, Chordata, Actinopteri, Gadiformes, Gadidae.
AUAAUAAAUGUACAGACCCAAUUAUUAUCUUUUCCAGACCUUGGGGAAUGUGUGAUUUAAAUGAUGAAUCAAAUCAGACGCGGUUAACAGUGCAGUGAAGCCCCACCCUUAUUCAUGUGCUUCUUAAGAAAUUGUCAAAGGGCCAUUCUAAUUGGUUCAUAUCUUUUACUGGAGGGGGUAAAAUUGGUUUUGUGACCAGGCCAAUCGACUGACUUCUUUGUUGUGUAAACCAAGCCAUCUCUUCCAAACCUGUAGCCCCGGUUUCUGUCCAAUAUAAACCCAUUGUAUUACAAAUUGGGUUAGGUCACUCACACUCCCUGUGCAGUGAAGCCCCAAAUUUAUACAUCAGCUGCUGCAUGCAUCCAUUUAUGUACAGACACAAUUAUUAUCUUUUCCAGACCUUGGGGAAUGUGUGAUUGAAAUGAUGAAUCAAAUGUGGGGAAAAAGCCAAUCUUGGAGUCUGCAAGUUUGCUGAAGUUUAACCAAAAUGAGAGACACAUCUUCAAAAACACAGGUAAGAACACGCCCCUUUCAGCUUGCAACAAUAGCUUGUGGGGGAGGAGCUCUAUGCAACAGGCAUUAUAAAUGCUGGAAUUUCAUGGUGAAGAAUUUACUUUCAAGAUUUUCUGAAGCAAGAAAGCUGUUGCCAUUUCCACUGGUCUCAUCUUGAAAAUGCAUCAAAGUAAAACAGCAAACAGGCACUACUUGCUCUGUCCACGCUGUCUCAAAACACAAGCAAGCCUGUCUGUCCAUUUGCGGAGGGUGUUCACCACAGGUGCUGAUGCGUCAGCAUAUGUGCGAAAGUCCUCCAUGACAUACCCUCCCGAUCCCCGACGGUCAGUCCGACGACCAUGCACUAUUUUCGGACACCUUCUGAGGACAUCCUGCCCCCUCUGGAGGAUGGAAACAAGGGCCUAGAAGAAGAAUAAAAACAUUUUCACCGUUUUUGAGACUAAGUCCAUCCACAUUUAGGCACAGAAUGGAAAUAAAAACGUUUUUGGCCGUUUUUUUUACUAAGCCCAUUUGGACUUGGCUCAGAAGCAGAAUAAAAACAUUGUAACUGUUUUUUGAGUAUAUCCUUGUGGACUUAGACUCAGAAUUGGAAUAAAAACGUUUUUGCCCAUUUUUUUAGUGUCCAGCUCCAGUUAAAGUAUCGCAGAGAGUAGCCUUGUAGUGCUGUGUAAGUGAGAGAUCUUUUUGUCAGUCUUAACGACCCUGUCAUUCACAAAAAACACUUAUUUCGGGAGAGGUAAGCUCUAGAGAUGCGCGGAUGGGCUAUUAUUUCAUCCGCAACCGCAUCACAAA